RNAcentral lists this ribosomal RNA (406 nucleotides) under uncultured bacterium. Its description in RNAcentral is "partial 16S ribosomal RNA". It matches the Rfam family "Bacterial small subunit ribosomal RNA", at positions 29 to 526 of the family's 1533-position model. The record is from RNAcentral.
AUUGAACGCUGGCGGCAGGCCUAACACAUGCAAGUCGAACGAGUGGCGGACGGGUGAGUAAUGUCUGGGAAACUGCCUGAUGGAGGGGGAUAACUACUGGAAACGGUAGCUAAUACCGCAUACCAUCGGAUGUGCCCAGAUGGGAUUAGCUAGUGGGUGGGGUAAAGGCUCACCUAGGCGACGAUCCGUAGCGGGUCUGAGAGGAGGACCAGCCAAACUGGAAUGGAGAAACGGCCCAGAUUCUUCCGGGAGGAAGCAGUGGGGAAUAUUGCACAAGGGGCGCAAGCCUGAUGCAGCCAUGCCGGGUGUAUGAAGAAGGCCUUCGGGUGGUAAAGUACUUUCAGCGGGGAGGCGUUACCCGCAGAAGAAGCACCGGCUAACUCCGUGCCAGCAGCCGCGGUAAUAC